UAUGGUGCCUGUACCCAAGGAACCGCCAACUGAUCAGAGGGGUUGGACAUUUCAAGAAGUCAUUGCGCUGCACUAUGGGGAGUGUGAAGAGAAUGGAGAUUAUACAAGCAUCUCCACCUCAUGGGGUUAUAUGAAGAUUAAAUGAAAGAAUACACAUAAGUACCCAGCCCAGUCCUUGAAACCUGGUAAGACGGUAUUUAAAUGCUGUGAGCUCACUGUUCAAACG
Lynx canadensis (Canada lynx) is the source of this 226-nucleotide long non-coding RNA. RefSeq lists it as uncharacterized. NCBI's taxonomy places the organism in Eukaryota, Metazoa, Chordata, Mammalia, Carnivora, Felidae. The record is from RefSeq and is a predicted model, not a curated record. The transcript has 3 exons.